Molecule: long non-coding RNA, 489 nt
Organism: Mytilus trossulus (common blue mussel)
Lineage: Eukaryota; Metazoa; Mollusca; Bivalvia; Mytilida; Mytilidae
Exons: 3
Source: RefSeq, a predicted model, not a curated record
ACAAUGGAUACCGUCUACAAAAUUAUCAUUCUCGGACUUCUCUGCAACUUUCCAUACUGUUAUGCUUAUUUCAAUGGUUACAACGGUGAGAGGAGUUAUAAUGGAAACGGUGUUUAUGGAAGAAUAACACCAUAUGAUUAUCCUGUACCAUCAACUGGAUAUCUUGCGACCACAGAUAAUAGAUAUAACGGAUUUCAGGGUGGACUUGCUGGACAGAACGGAAUCUUUGGGCUCAUCAUAGCAGUUGUGGUUGUACAGUAUGUGUUGAAACUGAUACCUCAAUUCCAAGGAUAAAAACGAAGCAGAAUUCCUCCAUUUGAUCCGUCAUCGUGACAGCCAAAGGCACAGGGAAGACAUUGAUAUAGAAAUAAAUCAUACACAUCUAAACAAUCGGAAACCCUCGGCAGAUUUCGCUAUCCAGAUCAUCAGAGUUAUGCCGAAUGCACAAGUUUCCUGAUUGUGCGCAUUUAAUCAUUAAUGUUUUAUCUU